AUGGCGGAGGCCAUCGUCGGCCCGCUGCUGAGCAAGCUCCAGGAGCUGGCCCUGAGCGAGGGGAGGGCGCUGGUUGCCGUCAGCGGCGAAAUCGGGAACCUCCGCGACAAGCUCAUGUGGCUGCUGGCCUUUCUUCAGGAGGCCGACCCCCGGCGCCGCACCCGCGCCAGCGAGCUCAUGCGCGUGCUUGUGCGCCAGACCCGCGACGCCGCGUUCAGCGCCGAGGACGCCGUCGACGAGUACGUCUUCCGCGUCGACCUGUCUCGGUACCCCAGUUGGUCCCGCGCCAUCCUCGGCUUCCUCGCUGGCUCCACCACACAGCUCCUCGUCCGGCACAGGCUCUCCGGUGAGAUCGCGGCCAUAAACGGCCGGCUCGAGGAGAUCAUCAAGAACAAGGAGAAGUACAGGCUGGAGGACUCCGCCGCCGUAUCAUCGGUGCGAACGUGGACCGCCUCUGCUGCCUCCUCAAGUGUCUCACUCACCUGGUCAGCCUUCCCCUGCACUGUCACUUGCCAAGUUUAUCUUUAUCAUCGAUCUGCAUAUGUGCUGAAGUAUAAAAGUACACCGAUCUGCCAUCUUUUUAGUUUAAAUUUACUGAAUGGACUGGAGCACAAGAGGCCAAUGAGGUCGACUAAGCUUUGCAGUUUUGUAGCAGGGUUAAUAUUACCGAGAGCCGUCUAUCCGAUAUUGAGAUCUGUAAACAAUUCCAUAUUUUUUUUUCUGAGCUCUGUUAGGGUCGCUAAUAGCAUGCUAUAG
This 756-nucleotide ribosomal RNA is filed under the name Triticum aestivum (bread wheat). Its description in RNAcentral is "partial small subunit ribosomal RNA". The record is from RNAcentral. Lineage: Eukaryota; Viridiplantae; Streptophyta; Magnoliopsida; Poales; Poaceae.